UGGGGAAUUUUGGACAAUGGGCGAAAGCCUGAUCCAGCAAUGCCGCGUGUGGGAAUAAGGCCUUCGGGUUGUAAACCACUUUUGUACGGAACGAAACGGUCUGCCCUAAUACGGUGGGCUAAUGACGGUACCGUAAGAAUAAGCACCGGCUAACUACGUGCCAGCAGCCGCGGUAAUACGUAGGGUGCGAGCGUUAAUCGGAAUUACUGGGCGUAAAGCGUGCGCAGGCGGUUAUAUAAGACAGUUGUGAAAUCCCCGGGCUCAACCUGGGAAUUGCAUCUGUGACUGUAUAGCUAGAGUACGGUAGAGGGGGAUGGAAUUCCGCGUGUAGCAGUGAAAUGCGUAGAUAUGCGGAGGAACACCGAUGGCGAAGGCAAUCCCCUGGACCUGUACUGACGCUCAUGCACGAAAGCGUGGGGAGCAAACA
Molecule: ribosomal RNA, 427 nt
Filed under: uncultured bacterium
Lineage: Bacteria
Description: bacterial SSU rRNA
Rfam family: Bacterial small subunit ribosomal RNA
Source: RNAcentral